This 447-nucleotide ribosomal RNA is filed under the name uncultured Curvibacter sp. RNAcentral describes it as "bacterial SSU rRNA". It matches the Rfam family "Bacterial small subunit ribosomal RNA", at positions 929 to 1382 of the family's 1533-position model. The record is from RNAcentral. Lineage: Bacteria; Pseudomonadati; Pseudomonadota; Betaproteobacteria; Burkholderiales; Comamonadaceae.
GCGUGGAUGAUUGUGGUUUAAUUCGAUGCAACGCGAAAACCUUACCACCUUUGACAUGUACGGAAGUUGCCAGAGAUGGCUUCGUGCUCGAAAGAGAGCCGUAACACAGGUGCUGCAUGGCUGUCGUCAGCUCGUGUCGUGAGAUGUUGGGUUAAGUCCCGCAACGAGCGCAACCCUUGUCAUUAGUUGCUACGAAAGGGCACUCUAAUGAGACUGCCGGUGACAAACCGGAGGAAGGUGGGGAUGACGUCAAGUCCUCAUGGCCCUUAUAGGUGGGGCUACACACGUCAUACAAUGGCUGGUACAAAGGGUUGCCAACCCGCGAGGGGGAGCCAAUCCCAUAAAGCCAGUCGUAGUCCGGAUCGCAGUCUGCAACUCGACUGCGUGAAGUCGGAAUCGCUAGUAAUCGUGGAUCAGCAUGUCACGGUGAAUACGUUCCCGGGUCUU